AGCUCCAACUGGGGCGACUUGUGGAGGGUGGUUCCUGGGACAACGCCCAUGCCGUGAUCAGGAACGGGGUCAGCAGGAGUCAGGUGGGGAAGUGCCAGGUGUCCACUGCCACGACCAACACGUUACUCACACUCACGGCACAAGAAUGGCCUCUGUACCCUGUGUGUAGAACUUUCCAGGCCCAGGUUCCCCAUGCGGGGCUGCCUGAGCACCCCCACCCUAUGGCCAGCCCUGCUGCCCUGGCUUCCACCUCCAGAUCCUUCCUGCCAUGUCCCCCUCCAAUCAGAGCCGACCCACACUGUGUCCCUCCCAGUGGCUCUACUGCCUACUGAACACGUGCACCAUCACCGCCGUGGGGCCCACAGAGUCAAGGCUAUAAAGAGGGACUGAGAACACCGUGACGCCCUGGCCUGCGCACCCUCCUCUGCUCCAUCUGGGUCUGUCCGGAUGGCAGAGGCUCAGAGGGUCUGCCCCUACCAGAUGGUGGAGGCUCAGAAUGUCUGAGCCAGAAAAAGCAUGAAAGAAAACUUAGCCUUCCUCCUCCCAGUUAACAGGCUGGGUCCUGAGGGCACAGUGUCCAGCACGGAGGACACACAGUAAAUAUUCCCAGAAGGAGUGAUGGGUGAACGAAUAAAUAGAAUCUCACCCUGCCACCAUGAUUAAAUUCAGCCCCAAACUUACCUGUCCCAUUGUUUCCAUAUCCUGCCACCUCUGAGGCCUAAUCUGAAGAACUGAUUUGUGCCAGUGGACGAGCACUAUUUCUCUAGGUGAGACAUGCAGGUGUCAACAGGAAAUGUCCUGAGAUGUAAUUCUUCAACCCAGGAAGCCACUCCAAUCAAGAGAACAUAAAGCAAUGGUGAUGGGAUGUGGGGGUUCCAUGGGGCUUGGAUGCCCUGAGGAGGGCCUCAAAUCACAGAAUGAUGAAGGUCUUCUGGAUGCAGUGGCAGGGCAGGAGAGGUAUUGCCCUGGGACUCGAGAUGGGACCACAGCCAAUUGCUCACUCAGCCAUGGCCUGUGGGUCUGACACUGGGACCUCACUAACCCUCUUUUAACACUCCUAUCUGUAAGUAGGGAUCAUGACCCACACUUUGCAGGGGUUCUGAUGCUGCAAAAUUCUGGCGCUUUCUACAUGAUAAGGUCUUUGCUCACCAAAUGGAAGAGACUGCGUGCAGGUAGCAUGGGCCUGCCUACUGCAGGUGGGGUGCUUUGGGCUGCAAGUAACAGAAAAUCCAACUCAAAGUGAAUUGUGUGAUAAAGACAAUGCACCACCUCGCUUAUCAUGGUCUGAGUUCCUCCAUGAGGGUUGCCGCCUGGUGCGUCCUCUGUAAGCUCCCUGAAGCAGGGGCCUAGGCUGACCUUUUUUCUCCACUGCCCCCGAGAGCAUAGACCAGGGCCUGGCACAGAGAAGGCGUCCAGUGAGGAUUCCACCCAGGACACCAUCAAACCCUCAUCGCUACAUGGUCUAUUAAGUUGUGUUCCCCCAACAGCAGUUAAAGAAACCAAAGCUUGGCCAGGCACGGUGGCUCACGCCUGUAAUCCCAGCACUUUGGGAGGCCGAGGUGGGUGGGUCACUUGAGGUCAGGAGUUCGAGACCAGCCUGACCAAUAUGGUGAAAUCCCAUCUCUACUAAAAAUAAGAAUACAAAAAUUAGCUGGGCGUGGUGGCAUGUGCCUGUAGUCUCAGCUACUCAGGAGGCUGAGACAGGAGAAUUGCUUGAACCUGGGAGGCGGAGGUUGCAGUGAGCCAAGAUUGCGCCAUUGCACUCCAACCUGGGCAAUGAGAGUGAAACUCCGUCUAAAAAAAAAAAAAAGAAGAAGAAGAAAGAAACUAGAAACUAAAGCUAAGGGAAGAUAAAUUACCUGCAUGACAUAUUGAAGCACACAGAGGACAGUCCUGGCAUUCCCUACUCUGGGCUCUGGCCAUAACCCUGACAACCCUGCUACUCUACUGUCCUCCCUGGCCUCUCUCAGGCCAGUUUGUCCUCAGAUCGGGCAGUGUGGGAGUUGACAAACCAGUCAACCCAGACUCAGAUGACGCAGAAGUCUGCCCAACACAGAAGUCCACCAACCAUUGCAUUGUGAUCAUUGCACCGAGGACAUAAAUUCAGCAACAUGUGCUGGGUCAGCUGCCUCGUUUUUCUCCAAAGUAGCAAAUUUAUGGGGCACACGUGCACAUGGGUGAUUAUUUCCCAAUAGUUUAUAGUAUCAAGCCUCCUUUCUUUCCUCCCAAUAAAUCUAAUUUAUAUGGAUUGGCAGAUCAAACAGUGCAUUUCCUGGCAUCGAGAGGCUGUGAGUCACUCACAGUGCUUUAGGAAACUUGGGGAGAUUAAGGUUUUGCAUAAUGCAAAUGCGGAUGGAAACAUAUUUGGACUGCCUCGCUGUGGAUGCAAUUAGAGCAAUGAGCACCAGGAGAAAUACUUUUUCCCAGGACACAGCAAGGUCUGCUUGGUAUGCAAAGAGCACAGUUAUUUGCGACACCAGAGCCUGGAACGUGGUGAGCAAAGCACCCAGUGACGGUUUGAUUUGCAGCUUUAAGGAAUUCAAAGAUGAAUAAAACAUUAAAUUAAUUGCCAAAGAACUGUUGCCAAGCCUGCAUGAGAUCUAAUGAAGGCACACAUGCAAAAAACCAACACACACAGAACAACAAACCAAAACUGGGCCUGCGGGAUGCUACCUGCCCCAAGCCCCCGAAACCACAUUUGGUUUUGAGUAUUUUGUCCUACUUGGAAUUUUCUCUCAUCAAUACUCAUCUCAAGUCCUCUCAGCCACGAAAGCUCUCUCCGCUUCCCCCAGCCCACAGGACGCUCCUUCGACUGUUUCCUUGUUCACUGGGGAAAUGUUGACUGAGCACCUGCUAUGUGUCAGGCACUGCUUUCCCAGACGCUGGGGAAACAGCACUGAACGAACCAGGCCACAAUCCCUGCCCUGGUGGCUGCCUUCCUGCGGGGAGUAUGAUAAUAAGCAAAAUAGAGAAAUUAAUAUAUUGGAAAGUGCUCAGUGCUACGGAGAAAACAAAGAUGAAGUGGGGAUAGGAAAUGCCGGGAGAACAUCGGGAGGGGUGAGGAGAGAAGGCCCAGGAGGAGGGGCGUCCUUCCCAGGCAGCUGUCACAGGCCCCUAGCUGAGCUCUCAUGGCAGACACAGCCCAGGACACUCAGACCCAGAGUGACUACGAGCCCCGGCAAGACGUGGAGGAGCAGAGUUACAACCCGUCAAGAGCCUGAUUUCAGGUUGAAACCAGGCUUCACCAUGCAGCAGCUGUGUGGCCUCAGGGAAGUUACUGAACCCCUCUGAGCCUCCCAUGGAAAAUAAGGAUGAUGGUUCCCCUCACAGGGUUGUCGGGAGGAUUCAGUGUCCUCCUUCAGGUCUUGACUCGGAUGUUGCCUCUGAGUGAGGGCGUCUUUGGCCACCCCAUUUAAAGUGCCAACCCUGACACUUCCUCCCUCCUUUCCCCUCUGUCCUCUUCCUGGCUCUUAUCACCAUCAGACAAACCAAGUUUUCACUUCUUGAUCAUUGUCCAGCCCCUGCUGUGAAAUGUGAAGUCCUAAGACACAGGCUUUUUUUGUUUGUUACGUUCAUUGCUUUAGAAGGAAUUAAGGACAAGCUACCCCAAAUGACGUCACUUUGGUAUAUGGAUUAUUUUGAGCUGCAGGCACUGGAGAAACAGCAGGUGCAGGCAGGGCCUUCGGACCUCCCCUUUUCUAACCAAGAACAGGCCAUGACAUUUCCCACGAGAUACACACUCCCUUUGUACCAGGAAGAGAACAUCCUUAUCACCAAACACUGGGAGUGGAUGCCGAGGUGCAUCUGCACAAACACACUUAAUAAAAUAACCCUUUGCUUCCACCAGUUUUACUCGUUUCUCCCCCACGAAUCUUCCAGUUCCUCCCCCACGAUUUACUGCCCCCAGUCCAAACCUUUUUGUCUCAUCAUUUCUUCACA
Molecule: long non-coding RNA, 3939 nt
Filed under: Homo sapiens (human)
Lineage: Eukaryota; Metazoa; Chordata; Mammalia; Primates; Hominidae
Description: HSALNT0401441
Source: RNAcentral